RNAcentral lists this long non-coding RNA (262 nucleotides) under Setaria viridis. RNAcentral describes it as "long non-coding RNA (SVIR_LNC001459)". The record is from RNAcentral. Lineage: Eukaryota; Viridiplantae; Streptophyta; Magnoliopsida; Poales; Poaceae.
CUUCUCAGUGAGAUUUUCAAUUUCUUCACCCUUGCAGAUUGAAAUCGAUUAGUUCCAGCAUAUAUGCUGCAUCCCAAUACGAGCAAAGAUAUAUCUGUCAGUUUUGGUUCUAUAUUUUCCCAAUGGAAAUCACAAUCAUUUGGUUCCUGAUUCUAUCCACGUAGUGUAAUUGGGAAAAUUCCAUCAUGUAAUGCGGUUGAUUGUGAACCAGUGGAGCUAUUUUUGUUACCUGGUAACUCAAUUCUCACUUUAUAAAUCCCAG